GGCUCGGUGGUGUAGUGGUAGAGCACUCGUCCUCGGAUAGAAUGAAACGCGGGUUCGAUUCCUGCCGGAGGCCU
Molecule: non-coding RNA, 74 nt
Organism: Parelaphostrongylus tenuis
Lineage: Eukaryota; Metazoa; Nematoda; Chromadorea; Rhabditida; Metastrongylidae
Source: the annotation of a GenBank genome assembly